GUUCCCACUUCAUCUCAUCAGCUCUGCAGCUGGCUGGCCUUCCUCAGUUCAUAUACCGGCCCAGUUCUGUUCAUUCUCUGCCAUACAAAGUUGCCAUGUUCCUUCAUGCCUCUGCUUUUGAGCCACCAGAACCUGGCCCUAACUUGGACCCAGAACCAGCCUGCCUAUCUCUGUACCUACCAGUCAGGUCUUGUGGACAGAGUGAGGACCACUUUUGAAGGUCCAUUCCUGUCGAUGACGAGCCUCCCAGCCUGAAUCUAACUGGAACGCAGACGUGACUCAUCGAAUAACCAUCCUGAUGGCAGCAAAUAACGAUGAUUCCAAUCUUUUACGCAACCGACUGACAUGUGAAAAUAAUAAUUUGAUGUGACCUUCUAAGAAGAAUGCAUGUUUUGAACAACAGGAAUCAGUAACAUGCUGGGCUGUGGUGUGUGUGUGAAAAGCGGAAGGACAGAACAGAAGUGGUGGCGUGGAGGUGAAGAGAG
Sebastes umbrosus (honeycomb rockfish) is the source of this 485-nucleotide long non-coding RNA. RefSeq lists it as uncharacterized. The transcript is spliced from 4 exons. The record is from RefSeq and is a predicted model, not a curated record. NCBI's taxonomy places the organism in Eukaryota, Metazoa, Chordata, Actinopteri, Perciformes, Sebastidae.